This 372-nucleotide ribosomal RNA is filed under the name uncultured bacterium. Its description in RNAcentral is "bacterial SSU rRNA". It matches the Rfam family "Bacterial small subunit ribosomal RNA", at positions 525 to 896 of the family's 1533-position model. The record is from RNAcentral.
ACGUAGGGGGCAAGCGUUAUCCGGAUUUAUUGGGUUUAAAGGGUGCGUAGGCGGCAUACCAAGUCAGCGGUCAAACCGCGGGGCUCAACCCCGCGUCGCCGUUGAAACUGGUGAGCUUGAGUGGGCGAGAAGUGCGCGGAAUGCGUGGUGUAGCGGUGAAAUGCAUAGAUAUCACGCAGAACCCCGAUUGCGAAGGCAGCGCACCGGCGCCCGACUGACGCUGAGGCACGAAAGUGCGGGUAUCAAACAGGAUUAGAUACCCUGGUAGUCCGCGCAGUAAACGAUGAAUGCUAGCUGUCCGGGGGGCUUGACCUCUGGGUGGCACAGCGAAAGCGUUAAGCAUUCCACCUGGGGAGUACGCCGGCAACGGUG